Molecule: ribosomal RNA, 374 nt
Filed under: Dendrophryniscus oreites
Lineage: Eukaryota; Metazoa; Chordata; Amphibia; Anura; Bufonidae
Description: partial 12S ribosomal RNA
Source: RNAcentral
GAAGUCAAUUAUUACUUAAUAUACACAUGCAAGUCUCCGCCCCCCUGUGAAAACGCCCUUAAACCCCCUCUAGGGACAAGGAGCCGGUAUCAGGCACGAAAAUCUGCCCAAAACACCUAGCUUUGCCACACCCACAAGGGAAUUCAGCAGUGAUUAACAUUAAACAUAAGCGAAAGCUGGAUUCAGUUAAAGUAAAUAGGGCCGGCUAAUCUGGUGCCAGCCGCCGCGGUUACACCACGUGGCUCAAAUUGACUCUUACCGGCGUAAAGCGUGAUUAAAGCUACAAGGAGUUGGGGUUAAACUAAAACUAAGCUGUGACACGCCUGUAAUUAAGAAACCCCUACACGAAAGUUACCCCAAUUAUGUCAACUUGA